AUCGCUAGUAAUCGCGAAUCAGAAUGUCGCGGUGAAUACGUUCCCGGGUCUUGUACACACCGCCCGUCACACCAUGGGAGUCGGAAAUGCCCGAAGUCAGUGACCCAACCGUAAGGAGGGAGCUGCCGAAGGUGGAGCCGGUAACUGGGGUGAAGUCGUAACAAGGUAAC
This 170-nucleotide ribosomal RNA is filed under the name uncultured bacterium. RNAcentral describes it as "partial 16S ribosomal RNA". It matches the Rfam family "Bacterial small subunit ribosomal RNA", at positions 1331 to 1500 of the family's 1533-position model. The record is from RNAcentral.